RNAcentral lists this ribosomal RNA (243 nucleotides) under uncultured bacterium. RNAcentral's name for it is "partial 16S ribosomal RNA". It matches the Rfam family "Bacterial small subunit ribosomal RNA", at positions 529 to 771 of the family's 1533-position model. The record is from RNAcentral.
AGGUGGCAAGCGUUGUCCGGAAUUAUUGGGCGUAAAGCGCGCGCAGGUGGUUCUUUAAGUCUGAUGUGAAAGCCCCCGGCUCAACCGGGGAGGGUCAUUGGAAACUGGGGAACUUGAGUGCAGAAGAGGAUAGUGGAAUUCCAAGUGUAGCGGUGAAAUGCGUAGAGAUUUGGAGGAACACCAGUGGCGAAGGCGACUGUCUGGUCUGUAACUGACACUGAGGCGCGAAAGCGUGGGGAGCAA